GAGUUUGAUCGUGGCUCAGAUUGAACGCUGGCGGCAGGCCUAACACAUGCAAGUCGAGCGGAUGAAGGGAGCUUGCUCCUGGAUUCAGCGGCGGACGGGUGAGUAAUGCCUAGGAAUCUGCCUGGGUAGUGGGGGAUAACGUCCGGAAACGGGCGCUAAUACCGCAUACGUCCUGAGGGGAGAAAGUGGGGGAUCUUCGGACCUCACGCUAUCAGAUGAGCCUAGGUCGGAUUAGCUAGUUGGUGGGGUAAAGGCCUACCAAGGCGACGAUCCGUAACUGGUCUGAGAGGAUGAUCAGUCACACUGGAACUGAGACACGGUCCAGACUCCUACGGGAGGCAGCAGUGGGGAAUAUUGGACAAUGGGCGAAAGCCUGAUCCAGCCAUGCCGCGUGUGUGAAGAAGGUCUUCGGAUUGUAAAGCACUUUAAGUUGGGAGGAAGGGCAGUAAGUUAAUACCUUGCUGUUUUGACGUUUACCAACAGAAUAAGCACCGGCUAACUUCGUGCCAGCCGCCGCCGU
This 520-nucleotide ribosomal RNA is filed under the name uncultured microorganism. RNAcentral describes it as "bacterial SSU rRNA". It matches the Rfam family "Bacterial small subunit ribosomal RNA", at positions 9 to 521 of the family's 1533-position model. The record is from RNAcentral.